This 301-nucleotide ribosomal RNA is filed under the name uncultured bacterium. RNAcentral describes it as "partial 16S ribosomal RNA". It matches the Rfam family "Bacterial small subunit ribosomal RNA", at positions 509 to 807 of the family's 1533-position model. The record is from RNAcentral.
CAGUCGCCGCGGGAAUACGUAGGGUGCAAGCGUUAAUCGGAAUUACUGGGCGUAAAGCGUGGGCAGGCGGUUGUGUAAGUCUGAUGUGAAAGCCCCGGGCUCAACCUGGGAACUGCAUUGGAGACUGCACAGCUAGAGUGCGUCAGAGGGGGGUAGAAUUCCGCGUGUAGCAGUGAAAUGCGUAGAGAUGCGGAGGAAUACCGAUGGCGAAGGCAGCCCCCUGGGAUGACACUGACGCUCAUGCACGAAAGCGUGGGGAGCAAACAGGAUUAGAUACCCGCGUAGUCCCUGUCUCUUAUAC